Molecule: ribosomal RNA, 585 nt
Filed under: Candida albicans
Lineage: Eukaryota; Fungi; Ascomycota; Pichiomycetes; Serinales; Debaryomycetaceae
Description: partial large subunit ribosomal RNA
Rfam family: Eukaryotic large subunit ribosomal RNA
Source: RNAcentral
AUCAUAUGKUAUGCUCAGUAGCGGCGAGUGAGCGGCAAAAGCUCAAAUUUGAAAUCUGGCGUCUUUGGCGUCCGAGUUGUAAUUUGAAGAAGGUAUCUUUGGGCCCGGCUCUUGUCUAUGUUCCUUGGAACAGGACGUCACAGAGGGUGAGAAUCCCGUGCGAUGAGAUGACCCGGGUCUGUGUAAAGUUCCUUCGACGAGUCGAGUUGUUUGGGAAUGCAGCUCUAAGUGGGUGGUAAAUUCCAUCUAAAGCUAAAUAUUGGCGAGAGACCGAUAGCGAACAAGUACAGUGAUGGAAAGAUGAAAAGAACUUUGAAAAGAGAGUGAAAAAGUACGUGAAAUUGUUGAAAGGGAAGGGCUUGAGAUCAGACUUGGUAUUUUGCAUGCUGCUCUCUCGGGGGCGGCCGCUGCGGUUUACCGGGCCAGCAUCGGUUUGGAGCGGCAGGAUAAUGGCGGAGGAAUGUGGCACGGCUUCUGCUGUGUGUUAUAGCCUCUGACGAUACUGCCAGCCUAGACCGAGGACUGCGGUUUUUACCUAGGAUGUUGGCAUAAUGAUCUUAAGUCGCCCGUCUUGAMCMMCGGACC